UGGGGAAUAUUGGACAAUGGGCGAAAGCCUGAUCCAGCCAUGCCGCGUGGGUGAAGAAGGCCCUAGGGUUGUAAAGCCCUUUCGGCGGGGACGAUGAUGACGGUACCCGCAGAAGAAGCCCCGGCUAACUUCGUGCCAGCAGCCGCGGUAAUACGAAGGGGGCUAGCGUUGCUCGGAAUUACUGGGCGUAAAGGGCGCGUAGGCUGUCAUGUUAGUUGGAUGUGAAACCCCCGGGCUCAACCUGGGAACUGCAUUCAAUACGGCAUGACUUGAGGACGAGAGAGGGUGGUGGAACUCCCAGUGUAGAGGUGAAAUUCGUAGAUAUUGGGAAGAACACCAGUGGCGAAGGCGGCCACCUGGCUCGUUCCUGACGCUGAGGCGCGAAAGCGUGGGGAGCAAA
This 400-nucleotide ribosomal RNA is filed under the name uncultured bacterium. Its description in RNAcentral is "bacterial SSU rRNA". It matches the Rfam family "Bacterial small subunit ribosomal RNA", at positions 355 to 772 of the family's 1533-position model. The record is from RNAcentral.